AACGCACGAGACCUGCGGACCUGCGGAGGGAUCAUUAAUGAGAAACUGCCUCUCGCGGGUAGAUCUCCCACCCUUUGUAAACUUACCUUUGUUGCUUUGGCAGGCCCGUCUCCGGACCGCCGGCUUCGGCUGGCCAGUGCCUGCCAGAGGAUUCUAAAACUCUGUCUGUCAGUGUUGUCUGAGUCUAUAUACAAUCGUUAAAACUUUUAACAACGGAUCUCUAGAUCGGAAGAGCACACG
RNAcentral lists this unclassified non-coding RNA (240 nucleotides) under soil metagenome. Its description in RNAcentral is "partial contains 5.8S ribosomal RNA, internal transcribed spacer 2, and large subunit ribosomal RNA". The record is from RNAcentral.